Molecule: ribosomal RNA, 312 nt
Filed under: Triticum aestivum (bread wheat)
Lineage: Eukaryota; Viridiplantae; Streptophyta; Magnoliopsida; Poales; Poaceae
Description: partial small subunit ribosomal RNA
Source: RNAcentral
AUGGUUAAUAACCAACAGCGGAACCUGGAUGCUCAUAUUGGCUCCUACAUAUUCUAUGAAGAUCUUUGUCGGUCAAACCGCAUAACAACAUACGUUGUUCCCUUUGUCAUCAGUAUGUUACUUGCCAGAGAUUCGAUCGUCGGUAUCUCAAUACCUAGUUCAAUCUCGUUAUCGGCAAGUCUCUUUACUCGUUCCGUAAUGCAUCAUCUCGUAACUAACUCAUUAGUCAUAUUGCUUGCAAGGCUUAUAGUGAUGUGCGUUACCGAGAGGGCCCAGAGAUACCUCUCCGACAAUCAGAGUGACAAAUCCUAA